Molecule: long non-coding RNA, 280 nt
Filed under: Ananas comosus (pineapple)
Lineage: Eukaryota; Viridiplantae; Streptophyta; Magnoliopsida; Poales; Bromeliaceae
Description: long non-coding RNA (ACOM_LNC025626)
Source: RNAcentral
AGCGAAGCGGAGAUCAAAUCGACAUAUAGAUAUGAAAUUUCAAUAUCUCGAUUUGACCUAAAAGAGGCUAAUAUGUAGAAAAUAGGUUUUAGAUGAAAUCCGAGCCUCUAGGGUUUAUCAAACAUGUAUUUUCGUGAUGCUUAAUCUGUUAGAGAACCCCAAUAUCUUAUUUAUAGACUUUAGAAUCAAUUGGAGUCGGAUUAGAAAGUUUUCACGAUUUUACACUGUGUACCGGUACACGAAAGGCUGUCACCGGUUACAUAAUGACGGAACAAAUUUG